RNAcentral lists this ribosomal RNA (501 nucleotides) under uncultured bacterium. RNAcentral's name for it is "partial 16S ribosomal RNA". It matches the Rfam family "Bacterial small subunit ribosomal RNA", at positions 30 to 523 of the family's 1533-position model. The record is from RNAcentral.
AUUGAACGCUGGCGGCAGGCUUAACACAUGCAAGUCGAGCGGGGAAAGGUAGCUUGCUACCUGACCUAGCGGCGGACGGGUGAGUAAUGCUUAGGAAUCUGCCUAUUAGUGGGGGACAACAUUCCGAAAGGAAUGCUAAUACCGCAUACGCCCUACGGGGGAAAGCAGGGGAUCUUCGGACCUUGCGCUAAUAGAUGAGCCUAAGUCAGAUUAGCUAGUUGGUGGGGUAAAGGCCUACCAAGGCGACGAUCUGUAGCGGGUCUGAGAGGAUGAUCCGCCACACUGGGACUGAGACACGGCCCAGACUCCUACGGGAGGCAGCAGUGGGGAAUAUUGGACAAUGGGCGCAAGCCUGCUCCAGCCAUGCCGCGUGUGUGAAGAAGGCCUUUUGGUUGUAAAGCACUUUAAGCGAGGAGGAGGCUACCGAGAUUAAUACUCUUGGAUAGUGGACGUUACUCGCAGAAUAAGCGCCGGCUAACUCUGUGCCAGCCGCCGCAGUAA